This 253-nucleotide ribosomal RNA is filed under the name uncultured bacterium. RNAcentral's name for it is "partial 16S ribosomal RNA". It matches the Rfam family "Bacterial small subunit ribosomal RNA", at positions 524 to 776 of the family's 1533-position model. The record is from RNAcentral.
UACGUAGGGUGCAAGCGUUGUCCGGAAUUAUUGGGCGUAAAGAGCUCGUAGGCGGUCUGUCGCGUCGGCUGUGAAAACCCGAGGCUCAACCUCGGGCCUGCAGUCGAUACGGGCAAACUGGAGUGUUGCAGGGGAGACUGGAAUUCCUGGUGUAGCGGUGAAAUGCGCAGAUAUCAGGAGGAACACCGGUGGCGAAGGCAGGUCUCUGGGCAUUAACUGACGCUGGGGAGCGAAAGCAUGGGGAGCGAACAGG